RNAcentral lists this small RNA (29 nucleotides) under Bombyx mori (domestic silkworm). Its description in RNAcentral is "ovarian small RNA-8789". Lineage: Eukaryota; Metazoa; Arthropoda; Insecta; Lepidoptera; Bombycidae. The record is from RNAcentral.
UGGCUUCGGUCUGCAGCAACGGGUGCGGC